RNAcentral lists this transfer RNA (72 nucleotides) under Phrynosoma platyrhinos (Desert horned lizard). Its description in RNAcentral is "tRNA-OTHER". Lineage: Eukaryota; Metazoa; Chordata; Lepidosauria; Squamata; Phrynosomatidae. The record is from RNAcentral.
ACCAGCGUGGUAAAAUGGUUUGAAUGUUGGACUAUGACUCUAGAGAACAGGGUUUGAAUCCCUGCUCAGCCA